UCGGCGAUGCACCCCUGGAAUCGGCGACUUGGUAGUCCCAGUCGACGAUUCCCAGGUGUUGCCUUGAGUACUUGACGUAGACACUUGUUCCGCACUGUGGAUGUCUUUCGAGAGUCCGGAGUAAAGCGACGGAACCCUAGUCUUUAUUGAGGGGCGUUGUUGGGAGUGACUGACGUAAUCAGGCAUGUCUCACUAGGAAGUCGUGCGCAUAGGGUCCAAAACAGCGUCUAUCAAAGCAAAAAUAUGAAAUGAUUAAAACACAAAAAAUGUUAACAUAGGCCAUAGACCCAAGCGGAGUAUUAAAAAAUAUAACAAAAUAAUAAAAAUAACUUUACUUUGUACUUAACUACUUAAUAUACUU
RNAcentral lists this long non-coding RNA (361 nucleotides) under Zostera marina. Its description in RNAcentral is "long non-coding RNA (ZMAR_LNC003206)". The record is from RNAcentral. Lineage: Eukaryota; Viridiplantae; Streptophyta; Magnoliopsida; Alismatales; Zosteraceae.